CCUACGGGAGGCAGCAGUAGGGAAUCUUCCACAAUGGGCGAAAGCCUGAUGGAGCAACGCCGCGUGGGUGAAGAAGGUCUUCGGAUCGUAAAACCCUGUUGUUAGAGAAGAAAGUGCGUGAGAGUAACUGUUAACGUAUCGACGGUAUCUAACCAGAAAGCAACGGCUAACUACGUGCCAGCAGCCGCGGUAAUACGUAGGUGGCAAGCGUUAUCCGGAUUUAUUGGGCGUAAAGGGAACGCAGGCGGUCUUUUAAGUCUGAUGUGAAAGCCUUCGGCUUAACCGGAGUAGUGCAUUGGAAACUGGGAGACUGGAGUGCAGAAGAGGAGAGUGGAACUCCAGGUGUAGCGGUGAAAUGCGGAGAUAUAUGGAAGAACACCAGUGGCGAAAGCGGCUCUCUGGUCUGUAACUGACGCUGAGGUUCGAAAGCGUGGGUAGCAAACAGGAUUAGAUACCCUUGUAGUC
Molecule: ribosomal RNA, 465 nt
Filed under: uncultured bacterium
Lineage: Bacteria
Description: partial 16S ribosomal RNA
Rfam family: Bacterial small subunit ribosomal RNA
Source: RNAcentral